RNAcentral lists this ribosomal RNA (161 nucleotides) under uncultured bacterium. Its description in RNAcentral is "partial 16S ribosomal RNA". The record is from RNAcentral.
GCACGUAGUUAGCCGGUGCUUAUUCUUACGGUACCGUCAUGACCCGGGGGUAUUAGCCCCAGGCUUUUCGUUCCGUACAAAAGCAGUUUACAACCCGAGGGCCUUCAUCCUGCACGCGGCAUUGCUGGAUCAGGCUUUCGCCCAUUGUCCAAAAUUCCCCA